UAGAGUUUGAUUAUGGCUCAGAUUGAACGCUGGCGGCAGGCCUAACACAUGCAAGUCGAGCGGUAGAGAGAAGCUUGCUUCUCUUGAGAGCGGCGGACGGGUGAGUAAUGCCUAGGAAUCUGCCUGGUAGUGGGGGAUAACGCUCGGAAACGGACGCUAAUACCGCAUACGUCCUACGGGAGAAAGCAGGGGACCUUCGGGCCUUGCGCUAUCAGAUGAGCCUAGGUCGGAUUAGCUAGUUGGUGAGGUAAUGGCUCACCAAGGCGACGAUCCGUAACUGGUCUGAGAGGAUGAUCAGUCACACUGGAACUGAGACACGGUCCAGACUCCUACGGGAGGCAGCAGUGGGGAAUAUUGGACAAUGGGCGAAAGCCUGAUCCRGCCAUGCCGCGUGUGUGAAGAAGGUCUUCGGAUUGUAAAGCACUUUAAGUUGGGAGGAAGGGUUGUAACCUAAUACGUUGCAAUCUUGACGUUACCGACAGAAUAAGCACCGGCUAACUCUGUGCCAGCAGCCGCGGUAAUAC
RNAcentral lists this ribosomal RNA (524 nucleotides) under uncultured bacterium. Its description in RNAcentral is "bacterial SSU rRNA". It matches the Rfam family "Bacterial small subunit ribosomal RNA", at positions 1 to 526 of the family's 1533-position model. The record is from RNAcentral.